RNAcentral lists this ribosomal RNA (750 nucleotides) under Plasmodium billcollinsi. RNAcentral's name for it is "Plasmodium sp. DRC-Itaito partial 18S ribosomal RNA". It matches the Rfam family "Eukaryotic small subunit ribosomal RNA", at positions 329 to 988 of the family's 1831-position model. Lineage: Eukaryota; Apicomplexa; Aconoidasida; Haemosporida; Plasmodiidae. The record is from RNAcentral.
UAGGGUAUUGACCUAACAUGGCUAUGACGGGUAACGGGGAAUUAGAGUUCGAUUCCGGAGAGGGAGCCUGAGAAAUAGCUACCACAUCUAAGGAAGGCAGCAGGCGCGUAAAUUACCCAAUUCUAAAAAAGAGAGGUAGUGACAAGAAAUAACAAUACAAUAUCGAAAAAUGAUUUUGUAAUUGGAAUGAUAGGGAUUUAAAACAUUCUUAGAGAAACAAUUGGAGGGCAAGUCUGGUGCCAGCAGCCGCGGUAAUUCCAGCUCCAAUAGCAUAUAUUAAAAUUGUUGCAGUUAAAACGUUCGUAGUUGAAUAUUAAAGAAUCCGAUGUUUCAUUUAAACUGGUUUGAAAAAACUAUAUAUAUAUUUUGCUUUUUGCUUAAUAUGUUUUUUCUAUAAAUUAUGUUUUUAUCAGAUAUGACAGAGUCUUUUUUAAAAUCUUUUCAUUUAGCUUUUUUUAGCUUUUGGGAGAUUUUGUUACUUUGAGUAAAAUAAAGUGUUCAUAACAGACGGCUAUACAAUAGAUUGAGUUCAUUGUGUUUGAAUACUACAGCAUGGAAUAACAAAUAUGAAUAAGCUAAUCUUUUUUUUUGAUUAUUUUUUUUGAUAUUCUUAUUAGCUUAGUUACGAUUAAUAGGAGUAGCUUUGGGGGCAUUCGUAUUCAGAUGUCAGAGGUGAAAUUCUAAGAUUUUCUGGAGACGGACUACUGCGAAAGCAUUUGCCUAAUCUAUUUCCAUUAAUCAAGAACGAAA